CCUUUUAUCAAUACAUAAAAACUCAACUUCAUAAAUGCUUCUUGACUUAAAAUAUAUUUUGUCUGAUAUUGCUGUGGAUAAACUAACAGUCUUUAAAAAACUUGGUUGGUGAACUUUGUAUGCUCUUUUACUUUAAACUUUCCUAUAUUCUUAUGUUUUAGGUAUGUUUCAUAACUAGCUUAUAUCUGGAUUUUGUUAUAUACUUUUUAAUAACCUCAAUCUUUUAACUGGUAUAUAUGGACCAUUUAUGUUUAUUGUAAUUACUGAUAUAUUUGGAUUUAUUUCUACUCUUAUUCUCUUCUAAUUACCAAGAUUUUCCUUCUUUGAGGUAAUAAAGAAUGAGGUUUCAUUUCUUAUUGGUUUAUGCUAUAGAUUCUACUUCUAUUCUUUUAGUGGUUAGCCUUAAAAACUUAAAAUGCUUACUUAGAAAUUUCAAAAUGAAUCUCUAUUCCCACCUCCAGAAUAAUAACAGUGAGUUCAGAACAUCUUUACUCGAACAUACAAUCCUAUUUUACAUGUUGUUAUUUAGAAUGCAAGUUCUGCCCUUACUUAAUUAAUCCCCCAAUUUCUCAUUAUUAUUUUUAUGAUUUUUAAAUAAUCAGUACUUACUCAUAUUUAUAACAUUUUACCAUUUUCUUUGCUCAUUUUGUUUUUCUGCUUUCUACUUUUUUAUUGUGGGGUUUAAUUACUUCUCAUUUCUUUUGGGGAAUACCUCUUCCUUUUUGAAAUAACUCUUUCAGAUUUUUAUUGCUAAAAAUAUUUUUAUUUCACCAGAAUGAUGGUUUACCCAGGCACAAAAUUGGUUAAUAGUAGUUCCCUUCAGUACUCAAAAGAUACAAUUUUCAUGGUCAGCCACUUCCAGUGUGUUGACUUUGAGCAAAGUGAUGCCUGUGAGAGCCAUUGGUGACUCAGUGGAAAGGGCGGAAGAUACUCAUAAAGGGGAAAAAGUAUGGUGACAUUACAGUAAACAGAGGUAGAGAGUAGAAUAAUGUGGAGUGGAUGACAAAGAAAGAGACAUCAGUGGCAUCCCCAAAAGUCUGUGCUGAGACCUAACCAUCCCUUCUUGGCCCAUAAUUCUUCUUUCCUUUUAAGUGUUAACAUCUGUUCAAGUUCAAACACAGGGUGGCAAGAAUGAUUUUUUCCUGUAAAUCUUUGUGAAUCGUUAGUCAAACUAGGAAAGUAAGGGUGAUCAGAAGGCCAUCAUUUGUUAUUAUGUUCCUAAGUUCCCUGGGAGGGGAGCAUACUGCUAUAGCAUUUAAAGAGGCAGUGCAGACUUCUUUUUGGCUUAUUUAAGUAAGUUUCCAGGUAGCAUCACACAGCCUUUUCAAAUAGCAGUAACCUGGAGCAGUGGCUGGGGAGGGUGUUGUGCAAAGGAGGACAAUUAGUUCACAGGCAAAUAGCAUGUCCAUCAUUUCCACUAUUACUAUAUUUGAAUACAACUGAAAACUUAAUAAAGUUUGACAUGUUUUUCCCAUAUGUGUUGAUUUAAAAUAAAAAAUAUUAAGUCUGGCAGGGGCCUCAGAGACUAUCUAUCCUGAACCCUUUGCUUUAGAAGCGGAGCUCGAGGGGCGCUAACCUAGAGGGGGACCCCAAUGUGGGAAGGAAGAUGGGGUCAUGUGAGGACUUCAGAUCCCGGCAGAGCUUCACUCAUAAUAACUACUGCUCUAACCCCACAUUUUAUUUUCCAACACUUUUUCAUGUACAUGAAAAAAAUGACACUAAGGUUUUUUUUUUAACCCAGUGUUUUAAAUACUGUACUCAGUUCUAUUCUCUGCUCAUAUGAAGAACUAAUCCAUUGCCUAUUCAACACAUUCUGAUUUAAUGUUGAUGUAACAAAUUGUCUGUACUCCAAGUCCUUGCUGUAUUUUUUCUAAAAAUAUUCUCAUUUUUAGCUCAGCAUGAAAAUUCCUUUGGUUUUUCUGUUAGGGAAGCAAGCCAUUACAAACUAUUUUCUUUUCCAAAAGUUCUAAUCUAGGAUGACAUACAAUUUAGGUGGACAAAGUUCUAACAUUACUGUACUCCUCAAUCCCUAACACCUCUAUAUUUUCUUUUCCACCUGGUUUUCUUUUUAUAUUUUCUUUUUUGUGACAUUGUUUAUUGUCUUCAAGGACAAUGUAAGGGAAUUCAGUUUUCAGUGACAGCAUUCCUGGCUUCUGAUCAAAAGACUUCAUUCCCAAGAUAACUACUUCUAGACAACAAAUACAGGCAAUGCAUGGUGAUGAAACACAGCUUUUAUCCUAUUUUGUUCAAGGAGCAUUUGAAUUAUUAGUUCUUGGAAGACCCUCUAUAUAUUCAGGUUAUUUUCUUUUAGAUGACUUUGCAGAAGGAAAUCACGUGCACCACUGAUUUAGUUAGUUUAGCAUCCUGAAAGCCUUAUCCAUCUGGACCCUAUAGACACCCUGGUUCCAAUUAAGCCAGCUGGGUAAAAAUUUCAAUAGAGUUAAUUUUGCCAGCUGAGCAAGUCAUGCUCACCGAGAAUGUACUCAUUACAGAGGACUCUGGCCCACUCUUGUCCUAAAGAACAUGAAACUCCAGCUCUUGAGUAACUUUUUAAAAGGUCCCUAAAGAAAUGUGUUCAAUCUGCUAAAUCAGGAGUGAUGAAUGUAUGGAUCAAAAGGGAGAGAGGGCAGGGAAGGUCAGGAGACUGCACCCAAUGUCAAGACAAAAGCUAGUAAUGAGGUGUUCUAACAGAAGACUUCUCUGUGGCUAUUUCUUACAUCAAGCUGGAUGCAGUUGAAUUUUUGAACGCUUCCAACACACAGAUCCUGUUCUUGGCUAGAGAAGCAGUGAUAUUGAAAGAAACUUGUAAAAUAUCUUUUCUUUAUACUUGCAGAGAAGAACACUAGGCUGCUGUCAAAAUGAGGAGGGUUGGAUGUAAGAGAAUCUUGGAGAUGGUGUAGCCUAAGCCUCACAUUUUGAAGAUAAAGAAAUAAGGUUCAGAGGAGUGAACUCACUUGUCCAUGACCAUAGAGCUAUUACUACACAGCCAGACCAGUGAUCUUGCUAGUGAAUCACACUGCUACUCUUAAUUUAACACCCAAUUUAAAAGAGAGAGAGAGAGCAAAUCACUGCACACCCCAACACUGGGAAAUAAUGCAACUUUCUGGAGGUCUAGUGGGAACCCUAUAAUUAGAGUGCAAGCAGGUACUGGGCAUUUAUUUCACUUGUCAAAAUCCCUGGAGGUAUGUUUCUGAAACCUAUUGCCAGGCACAGCAGUGGCCUGCCAAGCAUUCUUUGGCCUGCUAUCCUAGUGCUGUAAAUCUGUGCAUCUCCCGCAGGGAGAGGAGUGAAAAAUUAAUGAGGAGCUCAGAAAAGCUCAUUUGCAGGGCUAUAGAGAUUGGGAGGGCAAUGGAAAUGGGAAGUGAAGGCAAAGGUUUAAGCUAUCAGCCUGAAGCUGUGGCAAAUCAUAUAAAUAGGGUGUAAAUGUAAAUAUACCCACACAAAAAUGGAAAAGCACUGAAGAGCUAUUUAGGGAAGGACUGGAUCUGAAUUAUAAACACCCAGGGCAGGGCUCUUUGUGAUUCAUUCAGAGGCAUCCGUUCAUCUCUGGGAUGCCCAAACCUACAGCCAUCUGACCCAAACAGCACGCUCAGGUCUCCUUGAGUCAGCAUUUCCUUUUCAUGGGGAAAAAACCAUGUAUCUUGACCCAAAUGUUUUCUCUCUUAUCCUGCUUGGACAUAAUAGCCUAUCAGCCUUAUAAGAAUGAGGGUAAAUUUUUAAAAAUCAGGUACCUUAAAAUUUUUUUUGGAGAAUUUUUUUUCUUUUCAACAAGGUAAUAUAUGAGUAAUUCAUUCUCUAAGAAGAAAAAAAAAUCAAUUUGUGUUAAAAAUUGUAAACUGUUUCAUUGACAAAGUUUGAUGUCUAAAGAAAAACAAAGGGGGCACGAAUCACUUCCCACUGGGAACCAGAUGUGGGACCGUAUUUGUACCUGAACAUCCUGGGCACUCCCAGCUCAGGCUCUGGUCUCCACCUGUUCCUUCUCUCAGGCAGUUUAUUCCCAAGUGAGAGUUCCCUAGCCAUUCAGCACAAGUACCCGGCUGUGGAAUCACUGUUUUUGGAGUGUGGUAUCUGGGAGAAGGGUGAUCACUGCUCAGAAGUGCUCUAGAGCUGGAAGUCAGGAAGGUGCUGCUCACAGCAAUAGCUGAGGUACUGACAUUCUUUUGCUAAUUAAAAAUAUUUUCAAGUCCAGUAAGUGGUUAUCAGCUGACCUCAGCUCUUAUUGAUGUGAUAAUAUACAUAUAUUUUUUAUUUUAAUUUUCAACUACAGUUUACAUUCAAUAUUAUUUUGCAUUAGUUUCAGGUGUAGAGCAUGGUGGUCAGAUAAUCAUAUACUUUACAAAGGGUACCCCCUGCCCCAGAUAUUUCCAAUCCCCGCAUCAUACAGUGAUAAUAUUUUAAAGUCAAUAUGACUUGCUCAUGAGCCUCCAGAAGAUGCUUAAGAACAGACACCUAGUUUUCUUUUGAGAGAAAGAAGGUCUUCGUCUUAUUCACAGUUGUGGUUCAAACCGAAUUCCCCCAAAAUUCACAUGUUGAAGUCCUAUGAAGUCCUAUACAUUCAGUAUCUCAGAAUGUAAUCAUAUUUAGAAAUAAGGCCAUUAAAGAUGUGAUUAGAUUAGGAUGAAGUCACGUUAUAGAUACGAUGGGUCUUUAGUCCAAUAUGACUGAAGUCCCUACAAAAAUGGAACACAGACACACAUAUCAAGAGAACACCCUGUGAAGAUGAAUGCAGGGAUCAGAGUGAUGUAUCUACCAGCCAAAUGAUGACAAAGAUUGUCAGCAACAACCAGAAACUAAGAGACAGGAAUCAAACCUGCUGAUACCUUGAUCUAGGUCUUCUAACUUCCAGGAUUGUGAGACAAUAAAUUUCUGCCAUUUAUGACACUCAUUUGAGGUACUUUGUCAUGAGAGCCCUAGAAAACAAACACAACCUCCUCACAAGGUUAGAAUGAUUCCCUUUCUUUUCAAGACACAAUGGAACUCUGCCUGGGUGCCCUGCACUCCCACUAGAUGGCCUCUCCUUCACUGUGUGAUGGGAGCCUUCUGGGUCCUCUCUGGCCAUGAGGAUUCCUUGGCAAAAACAGAAUGCCCUGGCCCUGGCCAGGUAGCCUAGAGUUGUCACCCUGAUAUGCAAGGUUGCAGGUUCUAUCUCUGGUCAGGGCACAUACAAGAAGCAGCCAAUGAACGCAUACAUAAGUGGAACAACAAAUUGAUGUCUCUCUCUCUCUGCUCCCCCACCUCUAAAAUCAAUUUAAAAAAAAACCAGAAAGCCCUUAUAUUCUCAUCUUUCAAAUUUGACUCUUACCCAUUCUAAAAAAGAAGAAGAAGGAGGAGGAGAAGGAGGAGGAGAAAUAAUAAGUGCUACUAAUCAUGAGUCACUUGGGGUUAAAACCUGAGAGCUAUCUCUGAUUUCUCCUCUCUCGCCCCCACAUCCUGCCUCCCAAGUCCUGUCAUUUCUACCUCCUCCAUGUCUCUCAAAUCUCUCUUCUUUGCAUUCCUCAUGCCACCACUCCAAACAGGCUCCAAUUAUCUGUCUCCUAGACUGUUACAAUAGCUUUCUAACUGGCCUCCCUUGGCCAGGCUCUCUACUGUAUCCCUGGCAGUUAUAUCAGUAACUGCCAGUGAGUCACCCAAAGGCCAGCUGUGAUUAUGUCCCCUCCAUGCUCCAAAGGGGAUGAGAGCCCAGCUCUGGGAUCUUUACCACUUUCCAUGAUCUAAUCCUAAAACAUCUGCCUGCAUCUGUCUGUUAUAAAUUCAUGUUCCAACUAAGUCAGACUUCUAAAACAUACUUCUGGUUUCCCACCUGUGCCUUUGUUUAUGCCAUUUGCUCGGUAUGGAAUAUCCUCUCCCCUAGUUCUAUCUGUAAAAUUCUAGGCAUGGUGUAAGAACUGUAACUGUGGUGCUGUGGUGAAGUCUGCAGGUUCUGAAGUACAAAGGAGCAGACUGAUUCUGGCUCCCCGCCUCACAGGGAGAUGUGAUGCUGGCAAGUUAUUGAACUUCUGUGCAUUUCAGGUUCCACAAAUGCAAAACAGGGAUGAUAAUAGUACUUCAUGGGGCUACAGUAAGAAUUAAACAAGAAAAUGCAUGAGCCACAUUUAGAAUAGUACCUGGUAUAGUAAGGAUUCAAUGACUUUCAUCACCUAUUAUCUUAUUCACAAGCACUUUAGAGGAAGUUGGAGGUAAUGGCACUCUUUCCCGACCUCUCAAAACAUCUUCACUAAUCUGCUCUUUUACCACUUAAGUUUUGGAUAUGCCUUUCCUUAAGUGGUGCCUUUGCAGCCUUUCUUCCUGCAUCUGGAAUGUCUCUUCUCUCUACAGACUGUUAACACCAAUUCCAAAGUCCCCGCAGAACCUCAUUCUGCCUUCUUUGCUCCUCAGCACUCUACUGCCAUCUCUACCCCUGCACCCACUGGGCCAGACUCAAGGUACCUGAUUUUUUCAUAUGUGUGUCUAAGGGCGUAAUCUGGUGCUUAACACUUGGCAAGUACAAAACAGCUGCUCACAAAAUGAAGAGGAGACUGAAUAUUGAACCACCAGUGGGUGUGGACAUCCCACUGGCCAGUAAGUCUAUUGUGUUUUCUUUAGACAGCGACCAUUGCUUGGAUUUCCAUGUGCUGCAUAAGUGUUUGUUCCAUGUAUGCACACACACAGGUCAAGGGCUGAAAUAACCCAAGGGACUAAUAUUUCCCAGGGGUAACUUUAGGUCAUUUUUCCGUGCAGUAAUUGUCAAUUGGGACUAAAUUAAGGCCAUCACUUUUUUGUGAUUCCAGAGCACUUUGUGUACACCUCAUGAUCACUGAUCUUGCAGCCUGGUAAUUACUGGUUGCCAGUUGUUUCAUUCUAAUAGUGUGCAUUCAGUGUGGGCAGACUUUGUCUCAUUUAGCUUCUAAUUUCCUGCGCCUGGCAUUUAGGAGAUCUUGGGUAAGUAUUUGUUUAACAGGAAUUUGAAGGAGAAACCUGAGAUGAACAACCAUGGGGUAUAGUGAGCCAUUAAGUAGCAUCAGUUAGAAAAAGAAUGAUGCCUCCUUACAUUUUUUUAAUACUCCAUUGCUAGGAAGGUAUAUCUGAUGAAAUAUUAUUGUUAUUUCCAUGACAAAAUUCUGAAAAGAGUGAAAUUCUAAGCUGUAUUCAUCUAAUAACCCUGGCCUAAUUUCUAGCCAACUUAUAGUAUACUGUUUUCCAAGCAAAAUAUGCAGAGUGUCAGAGAGCAAAAAGAUCCCACGGUGUAUGACCUUGAGCUCUAAUGCGUUCUGCUAUAGGGUAAUCAAAGGGCCCAGGCUGAGAACCUGCAGCUGAUAGAAGACAGAUGCGAAUGUGUCCUGGCCAAACACUGGUGGGGGCUCACAGCAUGCCUGGAAAGGCUAACUCUGUGGAUUUCCCUUUCAGAAAGUAAAACUGGGGCUGAUAAAGAGGAAGGGGGCUACAAGGAGUGGGUCCCACCUUUAUGAGCAGAUGAAGGCUGAACAAAUUCUGCAUCUGAAAAAGAGACAUCUGUUGGAAUACAGGUCAGGACAACUUCAGCUUCUUAUUAAAUAAAACUAUUUAGUGACUGAACAAAACCAACUUCAAACUGGCCACAAGUAAUAGUUUACAGGUUGGUUGUUAUCAAGACCUUAUUUUAGAAAACAGAUUCCCGUUCUGAUGCUGGCAAAUCCAAAUAUUGAACAAAAGUAUCAUGGGCUGGGUUUUCAGACUUCCAGAGUUCAAAUCCUACCUAUGCUUUUGAACAGCUAUGUGAUCUUGGGGUAAGAUGCUUAACCUCUCUGUGCAUCCAUUCCCUCAUUUGUGAAUGAGAAUAAAAGUAGUUACUGUCUUGUAUGGGUUUGUGAUAAUUAAUGUGAACUAAUAAAUGUGAAGUGCUUGGAAGAGUGAAUGGCACAUAAACAAUAUAUACGUUGAUGAACUAAUAUUGAAUUAGGCAAAGGUGGUAUGUGAUGACAUACAGUCCAGUGAGAAUGUAUCUUUUGCAAUUAUUUUGUAUAAAAUUAACACAGACCCAUAGAAAGUCUUCAAAUGCAAAGACAGGAAUGUGAUGAUAUGCCAAAUGCUCCUCCCUUGUCUAAUCUAAGUAUCCAGUUCUAGGCCCCCAGAACCUCUACACUCAGAUGUCUCUUCCAUAUUCUUACAGACAAAAUUUUAUUCAGAAACCAACAUUAUACAUUCUAUCCCUUAGUUAAUAAUAGUGUAUUGAGUACUGGAAAUUUGCUAAGAGAGUAGAUUUCAGGUGCUCUCAUCACACAAAAGCCAGUGAUUAUGUAUGUUAAUUAGAUUGAAUGUAAUAAUUAUUUCACUAUACAUAUAUCAUAUUGCAUACCUUAAUAAAAGAUGGAAGAAGUAAAAAAAUUAAUAAAAUUCAUAUGAAUUAUAUCAAUACACAUAGUGCUCUGCACCUCACCUUUCUCUUUCCACUAAACUGUACAUCUUAAAGCUCUCUCCAUAUCUGAACAUGUAACUCCACCUCACAGUUAUUUUGUGGCUUGAUGGUACUUCAUUGUGCAGAGACCAUGACUUUUGUAACCAGGCCCAUUGAUGGCGUGUGUCUGUUUCCAGUUUUCUAACAUUAUAAAUAAUCUGUAAUGAACACCCUUGCACACCCAUGUCACGAUACUUCUGCAAGCAUGCAUGUAGGUUAAAUUCCAGGAAAUUACAAUUCUUGCUGGGCAUGCCCUUCCUGAAAUUUGAUUUUAAUCAGCGUCUUCUUUUUCUGGCUCUGGAAUCUUCUUCCUUACCUGACCAUCCUUUGCUAGAUGUGAUGAACUUCAAGGUCAAGGUAAGUGCAUUUAAAAUGUUGGUUACUUUUGCCAAAUUGUCCUCUAAAAUGCUUGCUCUGCUUCAGCUGUCCACCAGUGCCACAUGACAGUGGCUGUUUCCCACUCUACUAGCUGAUGCAGUGUAUUUAUCGAUUUCUUUUAUCUUUACCAAAGUAACAAAUGAAAAAGAGUAUCUCAUUAGUUUCAAUUUGUGUUUGUUUAAUUAUGAGUAAGAGUGAGAUCUUUUUAUAUGUAUGGGGUAUUUGUAUUUUUCUUUGAUUUGUUAGUUAUACCCUUUGCCCAGACAAUAUAGUUGGAAUUGAAAAUAUAAACUGUGCUACUUCCCUGAAUCAAAUCUUGAAUGGUGACUUAGUGCCUAUAGGAUAAAGUCUGGAUUCCUAAUAAGGCAAAAAGGGGCCUGUGACCUGGUGUCUUCUAAGCCUCCUCUCUGGUUGCUCCCCUUGCCUCAGAAUUAAUGGUCCAGUAACACCUUGCUGCUGUGUUGCCCAGUAUUCUUCACUAAAGAUUCAUGGAGUGACUGGUUAAAGGAAUUCCAAUUUUUAUGUAGUUCACUUUAAAUAAAGAACCAUUAGGAAACAUUCUGUUAUUUCCUCGAGUAUUUUAUUUUUCUUGUUAAUCCUGUAUCAGAAACCACUUAUAAAUAAUAUGUCUUUUAUGGUUUCUGGUAGUUUAUAUUGGUAAUGAUAUCCAGAUACUUUCCAGCUGGCUCUUAUUAACAUUCUCACUAAAGUUUACUUAUUCUGAUGGGGAAAAAUGUUAGACUAUAAGUGGAUUGCAAUAUUCAUACCAGGAGUUUAAAAUAAACUACAAAGGAAGAAAUGAGUCCAAACAGAGGCCAAUGAUCACAACUUCCUGGAGGAACAAACUGUGCAGUGUUGGAGGAGCCUAGAAAAGAGCCUACUCUCCUGUUUCGCUUCUUACUGACACGUAACUUAACUCCACUCUCCAUCCCCAUAUUCCAGUCCUGCUGAGUGAAGCCGUCACUCACCACAACAUACCACAACCUUUUCAGAAAGCAAGAGUCAAAAAAAUAUUGACGCCCAAUGUGCGCCAGAACAGGUCUCUACCCUGAAGAAGGAAAUUCAAAAGAAAAAACAUGCUGCACACGCAGAUAUUUGUGGCAGGGGUAUUUAUAGUAGCAUGCACCCAAGGGAAUGUUUUUUUUAAGUCCUCGUCUGAGGAUAUAUUUAUUGAUUUUUAGAGGGAAGGAAAAGGAGAGAGGGAGAGAGAGAGAAGCAUUGAUAGGCUGGCGUGCCGUACAUGCACCAACCAGGAUCAAACUCUCAACCUAGGUAUGUGCCCUGACCAGGAAUUGAACCCACAACUUUUUGGUGCAUGGAGCGAUGCUCCAACCAACUGAGCCACCUGGCCAGGGCCCAAGGGAAUGUUUUAUAGUUAUUAGGAAGGUGAUUUGACUGACUAUGAGUGAGAGUUCCAAUUCAAUGUAACUCUAAGCAAAAAAAAUUAAAAUAAGAGAGAUAUAUAAUUAUAUUUAUACUUUGAAUUCAACUACCUGAAAUUAUUAUGAAAGAAUACAUGAAAAUAUGUAUAAAUGAUCAUAAUUCAUGUCAAAAAGGGUGUUUUAUUUUCAAACUUUAAUGGAAUCUAUUAUAUUUAUUUCAAAAACAUCUCUCAAGUUUUCUUUUAACACUAGAUGGGGUUGCAGUUUGUGAUGAUGGGGCUGCAGUUUGUGAUGAACAGGUUUGACUUGUUAAGAGAUUUAGUUACACAUCUAUGACUAGAACCCCACACACACCACUCACUGGUCUUUACAGAACCCCCAGACACUGGCAAUGUGACUGGCCCCCAGGGAAGGCCCGAUGCUACGAGUAUCUCUGUCAACAUCUCCUAGCCCAGAUCUAUCAAGCGACGUUCCAGUCAUUCACGAGGCAGGUGAGAAGGAUCCUCCUUGUACUGGCCAAUUUUCUGACAAUGAAAUCUUUCCAGUUGUCCAUGCAUGAAAUAGGGUUUUGUGCUGUGAUGGGUAAAUUGUAUAACAUUUUUUUAAACACAGGAAUAUAUUAUUGUAAAAUGAUGUUGUGGAAUGGCAGUUAUAAUUACUUCAUAUAAUUUUCAUAGAAACAUCUGGAAACAUAAUCAGCACGAUGCUCAAAGUACGGCAUUGAGCCACCCCUUCUUGCAUGCUGGGAAGCAUUUAAAGACCUUUUUCACAGGUGCCCGUGACAACAACAUGCAGGGAUAGCAAGCAGCUUCUUACAAUUUCAGAGCAUCUCACAGCUCCCUGAAAAUCAGGGAAUGUCAGGCCCAGCAAUCAGAAUGGAAGAGCUUUUCAGAGCACACAAAGAUGUCGCUAUGCCAUAGAAGAGACAGUCAUUCUCUUCAGAAACUCACACUUGGUUAAUUUGGGGACAAAAAUAGACUAAUGCUACAAUAGUCUUCUGUGCCAAAAUUAUAUCUGCAUCUGAACAUCAUUAGCUCCCCUCUCUGACUUCUCCUCCACAAAGACUUUUUGUAGGGACUGCUUAAUUGUAACUCAUUGUGACUCAACAGGCAAGUCCUCAGAGGCACUGCAGGUUAUCACACGCGUCCUCCCUCCCCAGGUCAGACGGCCACUCAGAGCAGGUUCUUGGUACACAAUGCUUUCUUUCAUUCAUGCGAUUUCAUGCAUGCCUCACACAUUUUAUAUUCACACGUUGCUCCCACCCCAGUUCCCUCCCCUGCUAAGAAAAGGAGGAAGGAAAGCCUUUAAAACUGACCUUCAAAAAUUAUUUGAUUCAUGUGUGGCCUCAUGGUCUAUCUUUCCCUCUGUUAAAGUUACUUGAUUAUUUGUCUUAGUCAAACAAAUUCAAAAUCAUAAGUGAUUCAUUGCCUAAGGUCAUUCCUGUAUCUCCAACAACUUAUCAAGGAAACCAAUAAUAACCAAAUAAAUCAACCAACCAAUACACAAAGGAAAUAUUUUUUUUAAGAAACAUGUGAAUACGCACCAUAUAGGUAUCUUUCUCUGCCUCAGGGAUGCUAGCAUCAGUCACUGACAUAACCAAGUCUUAUCUCCAAUAUUAUUUUCUGUUUUCUUUAAUGAGAUCAGCUUUCUGAAUUCAAGUCUGUUUAACACUGAUUUACCUAGAUAUGCAUACAUCUUAACCUUUUCACUCUUUAUGCUUCAAUUCAAGUCAUGUGUAAUAAGGAUAUUUCCAAGCAAAGCACAGAAGCCUCUGGAGUCAGGGAGCCUUGCAUCCAAAUCCUAGGAUUUCACUAUCCACCAGCCAAGAGAUGCCAAGCAAGUUACCCUUCUUAAGCCUCAUUAUUCUCAUAUAUAAAACAGUAACUAUGGAUAACUGCCUCACAGGACCACUGACAGCUACAUCACAGCUACUUCAUUAUUUGUCAGUUAGUGGGCACACACCUAUUAGUAGUGCUAAUGUGAUACUAUCAAGUUUAUUAACUAAAAAUGUCAAAGAAUGCUGGGGAAAUACAGGAGACCUAGAUUCAUGCCUAUGUUAAAGUGAUAGUGGAGAAAGGAAAGCACACAUCUGUAAUUGGACUGGAUGAGAAAGUAAAAUAGAGAUUUGACUCAAAGGUGCCCCCAAAGUCAAAGAUAAUUCAUUUCAUAGAGUCAGGGUACUUCUGGAGGGGAAGGCUGUCAGGGCAGAAAGGAGGCACUGACGUAGACACACUUAUGUGGGGUGAUAGUGGAAUGGCUGUGUGGAGGGCUGGCCUCAAGGCUGGACCUGCCAACAGAGGUGUGAGUCCAGGGAUGCCAUGCCGGUAGAACCAACAAAUUCAGUGAACUUCGGAGACAUGAGCACAUUAGCUGGCAUAAAUGAGUGCUCUGAGGACAGGGGAGGGAGAGGGAAACUAGAACAGAGAAAGAGAAAUAAAGAAGAAUGUGUUGAACACAGAGAAUUGCUUAAGGAGAGUCCAAAGCACUCUCCUGGCCUGCUGCAGUGAGAGGAGCAGCAGCAGUAGGUGUGGUGCUCUCCUGGAGGGCCUGGAAGUGGGGACAGGGCUCUGGGCCUGCUGGCAUGGAGCCGAUGACAGGUGCAGUCAUGAACUUUCGAGAGUGAGAGAAGUGUUGAAAGAAGGGAGAGUAAAUUAUUGGUGGAGGAAACUGUCAUUGGGACAGAACUUCCAAUCAAAGACAUGAGCCGAAGUGCAGGAAAGAAGGCAGAAACACCAUACGAGGGUUGGGAACAAAGAAAUUCGAUGCUGUAAAGAUGCUAAGGGACUCAACUACCAUUAAUUAAUUUAACCAAGAUUGACAGUUGAAGGCCAUUCUAAUGACUUCAUGAGUCUUGGUGCCAAUGGUUCCUUCUGCUUUCUCUCAGAAGUUAACUUCUUUUCUAUAUGUAAAACAGAACUGGCCUCAGGGGCUGUAGCUUCUGUCUGGGCGGCUUUGUGUAGAGUGACCGUUCCCCCUGCCUUGCCUGGCACAGGCCUGUCUCGUGCUUAUUGUCCUGGUCUAGGUAGCAAUGGCAUCGUUUUACUCUCAGAGAGGUCUAGGUUUGGAAAAUAAGGCAUAUGGCCAUCCUGUUGAUGUCUCUUUGUUUCUGAGCAUUCCCACCUGCCACAGAGCUCCACUUUUUAUGAAAGAGACUUCACAUACAUUGUCUUCUCCCCCAAGAAAACCUCUUCGUAUAUCAUCCAUUUUUUUGUCUAUGACACAGCAAAGGAGAAACAGGAUGAGGCACUUCCUCAGAGGCCAUUGUAUUCAUUCACUUAAUUGCAAAUUCGUGGACAGAAGGAAAUUAAUACUUUAGUGAACUAAGUUGUUGGUACUAGGAAGACAUGGGAUAAACUCCAACUUCUUGGAAUUGUAGCACAGUGUGUCUAAAAUGAAGCUCCUGUACCCAGCACCUAAACACCAUCUCCUAACUGGAAGAGAUGCUCUUCAGUGUUGUCAUGCAGUGCAUGUGCGUUCAAAGACUGAAACUAAGAAAUAAGGAACCUUUAUUCUUGGAUGCUUGUUUUUUUAAUGAGUUUCUAGAAAAAGAAUUUAUGCUAGCUAAAACUUACAUAGAACUUAUUCUCUGCAAGGUACUAUUCCAAGGGCUUUCCAGAAUUAAGUUCUUCAACCCUCACCACUUAGGAGGUGCCAGUGUUAUCCCUACUUUAGAUGAGGGAGCUGAGCAGUGAGUACGAGUAACUUGCCUAAGUAACUUGGCAGUGGGGCUGCCUGGUCUGGCCCUGACCAUUCCCCACACAGAGCUCCUGCUGACCUUUGAAGUCAGUGGCCAAACACACAUCUAGUGAUAAAUACUGUGAGGUUUGUGUCCUCUCAUAGAAUUAGUUCUAUGAAUAUUCAGCCCCAAUUCUAGCAACCACCACGGAGGCCAGUGUAAUUACUGUCUGCUUACCUGUCUGAGCAUAUUUUAUUCCUAUAUGUCAUAUAGAAGAAGGAGAUUGUGUUCCAUAGAAAACAUAAAUGCAAUGACUUUGAAUGGUAUUUGUUUGAAGCCAGUAUCAAUUUACUUUUUUCUUAUCCUCUCAUUAAACAGCAUCUGCCUUGAACAUGGCAUUGAACUAGACACUGAGAUACAAAGAUGAGGAAGAUGUUAACCACUGCUUUAAGGGCAUUGAAGAAAGACAUUAUUGAUUUCCACUGUCUGUUUCUAUUGAUGAGCUUCCCUACCUUCAUAUUUUAGCUAUAUUCAGAUAUGUCAGAAGAGGAAAGCAUCUUAUAAUGUCACUGUUAAGUGUAGGUGAGCUGUAUGUUUUAAAACAUCCAAAUUAUGCUUUUUCACACUCAGGGAUCCAAAAUACAAUGUAAGUGAUACAAGUCCAGGCUAAGUUCAAAUUUUAGCUCUGUGUGCUAACUGGAAUUUAUCUAGCCUCUCUAAGACUCAGUGUCUUCACCUGUCAAAUGGAGCUAAUAACACCAGUAGGUCUGUUGUGGAAUUAAAGUCAGGCAUGGAAAGGGUCAUGCAUAUUUCACAUCCAUAGAGAACUCUAGAUGAGAGCGGCCACUGCUGUUGUCAUCAAUAUAAUAAAAUUGUUGAAGCAUAUUCUACCCUUGUUUGUCUGCUCCAACCAUGAAUCUGGGCUGCUCCUGUGACUUGUUUUACCCAACAGAAUACUGGGAAUGGGACACUGAGCAAGUUUUGGACCUGAAUCUUAAAAAGGCCCAGUAGUUGCUACUUUGGUGCUGCUGUGGGCCCUGAGCUAACCUACUGGAGAGCACAUGGGAAGAGGCCAUGUGAAAAGGCUCUGAGAACAAGGGGAGGAGGAGUGGGGUCCGCUCUCCUCAUGUCUCCAUGAGUCAGUGACUGCCAAUGACCCUGACUGACCCUGAUACCUGUCUGUGGACUUGGGAGACCCCAAGAGAGAUCAGCAGAAGACUGAGCCCAGUCAAUCUGCAGGUCACAAGAGAUAAUGUAACUGUGUCGUUGUUGUUUUAAGCCACUGAGUUUUGGAGUGUUUUAUUAUCCAGCAACAGAUAACCCAAACCAUAGUGCUGCCCAAAUAACCUGAGAUUCAACACAAACUCUCAUUGAGUCUGACUUGUGCAUGACUCUGAUAAACUGAAUGAUAAUCAUGAAUGAUGGCAAGUUCUUCAAAGGCUGGGACCUUCUGUCGUGAACUACCCUUUCCUCUCUCAGAUCUUGGUAAACAGAAGAACUCAAAAAUAGAGUGGGCUGACCAGCCCACUCAGGUGCCCACAGUGUCAGAUGCUCUGCUCAGUGCUGGGAGACAAAGGGGAAAAGGCAGGGUCACUCUCAUUGAAGACUUUAUAGUCUUGACAUAUAAGCAAAGUGAUGGGAAAAGUUCACUUGGAGGGAAAAACAAUUAUGUCUUUACAACCAUAUCUCUAGGAAGGCACUAAUUUCCAUGGUCUUUAGCCUGUACCAUUUAAUAAGAGACACUUUUUAAAAAUAAUCAGGGCCAUUAAGUUUACCUUGCCGUCUAACCCCUAGUUGUUCCCUUUGUGGGUCAUGGUGGGGCAAGAAGAUUCUUUGCCUGUCCGUGCUUAACUUCUUUUUAAAAGAAAUCGAAUGCUCCAAUCACCCCAAAAGAAUCUGGGUCCCAGUCAGAUGCUGAAAGCUAUACAACUUGGUUUGAUAAUUUCUUAUUAAAAUCAGAUGCUAAAUGGUGCAUCAAUUAUUUGCAUGUUUGUUUUUCCUAAUCAUGAGAAUUGUCAUUGCUGAAAAAUGUGUGGAAUAUAUUUAUUUGGCUUAACAGCCACUCUGCUGACAUUUGUUUUCCUUGGAAUGCCAAAGUCAUAUUAAGGAAAUUUUGCAGCUUGACAUAGUCCAAUAGUCUUAUAAACAGCACCUCCCUCAAGCUCAUGCAGCCUUUUGGUGAUUACUACAUAGUUCCCCAUGUCCUUUCUAGCCAAAUUUCUAGAAAGAAGAAGUCUGAAAUCUGCUGUCUUUCCCCUCCUUUACUCCUCAAUAGGAUGCUAUGUAAACCCCAGCGCUACAGCUUCCCUGAUACCGUUCUGCCCAAGAACGCUGAUGACAAGUUGUCACUGAACCCACUGGACACUUCUCAGUCCUUACCAUCUUGUCAGGACCUGGCAGAGGGGUCCCUCCUCCUUUCUUGAACUCUCUCUGUUCUGGUUAUGUGUUCCUGGUUUUUCUUCAAACUCUCUUGUGGGCUUUGUCUGCCUUCUUUUUUAGGCUCUGUUGCCUCUGCUCAUAGCUUACAGGCCAGCAGUCCUCACGGUGCUGCUGCAGCCUCUCUGGCUUCCUACUUCAUGUCCUCUCCUUAGAGUUUUUAAUCCCAUGACCUCAAAGACGUGUCGGGUGCCCAUGACUUCCAGAUCUGCAUUUCCAGCCAGACCUGCCCUGAUCCCAUUUCUCUACGUCCAAUGUCCCCUCCAUUUGUGAUGUCACAUAGCACACAAAAGCCAGCAUUCCCCAAAAUAAAUGAUCAUUUUCCCCACACACCUGCUCCCCUUCACUGUUCCAGAUCUUGUGAGUGGUACCUCUCUGCCCAUCCAACUGCUCAGCUAGAAACAGAAGAGUAGCUCUUUAUUCUUCUCUCAUCCUCCACAUCCAAUCUGUAACCAAUCUGUAACCGAGUCAUGCUCAUUCUGUCUCCUAAAUAUCUCUUGCAUCUGUGCACAGUUUUAAGUUCCUAGUGUAAGUAUUAUAGUCUAGGUUAUCUUCACCUCUCCCCAACAUUAUAAUCAACCACCUGCUAACCAGUUUCCUUUUUACCAGAAUCGGUAGGGACACACUAUUCUGUUUGCAAUGAAGUGCCUUCUUAAUUCUAUCACAAGGAAAUUUUCUCUCACUCUAGACACAUAUAUAAAAAAGUAGUUAUACUAAAAACUUGAAACAACAUUGGGCACCACUCCAAAUGCUUUCCCAUGAUAUAGAGAAUAGUCUUGUAAAAGGCAAGUCCCUUGAUAGCUUCCUCAAGAUGCUGCAUUAGGAUAAAGCCUAGACUUCCUAACAUGCUGUGGAAGAUCCUUUACAAGCAGACCCUUGCCCACCUUUUCAUCCUCAUUUCUCACUACACUUUGCUCCUCCGCUUACAAUCCUUUCUAAACUAUACCCUCUUUUUAAGUUACAGAUGGCCAAUCUCUCUUCUCUCUUCUCCAGGCUCUCUCACAUUCUGUUCCUUCUACCAGGAGAGAAGACUCUAUCUCACAUUCAUUCUCUCACUCCUUGAUUAAACAUUCAUUUCUCUAGGAAACCUUCACUGGUAACUUGAAACUCAGUUGGCUUUCUCUCCUUGGGCUUCUUGGAGACCCCUGAAGUCUAAAAACCUAAGCUCUGACCAAGUAGACAACAUUUCUUUGUUAGCUUAAAAAAAUAAGGAUACAGAGGCCUAAAUCAGCUGCCUCUCAAGCACAUGCGUGCUUAUUCAUGAUCACCAAUGUUUUCAACCCAUCAGUUUUAUCUGCUUUCCUGAGUGGGAAGAAUAUAAACUUCCAGCUCAAGGGCUGUGCCAGUGAUGGCCCAUAGAACCUUAACAGUGGACAUAGUUUGUCCACAUUGGAUAAGAGGCAAUAAUCCCCUUUAUUAACAGAGAUCUUCAACCUCAUGCUAUAAAAGGAAGUCUAGAAAAGUCUUGAUGUAAACCUUAGGGGAUCUGUCUCCUCUAAGAAUUGCAAAUGCACUCCCCCAAUCACACACUAUACUAGGAAUUCCCAGUAGAGAAGCAUUAGGAAUGUGGGAUUAGCAAGGGGACCAACCAUCUUGGACACCAAGGACAGAGUCUUCCUGAAGAGCCCAGAAGUCCAUCACACCAGGUCCCAAGG
This is a long non-coding RNA of Phyllostomus discolor (pale spear-nosed bat), 17937 nucleotides long. RefSeq lists it as uncharacterized. The record is from RefSeq and is a predicted model, not a curated record. The transcript has 2 exons. Lineage: Eukaryota; Metazoa; Chordata; Mammalia; Chiroptera; Phyllostomidae.